This 427-nucleotide ribosomal RNA is filed under the name uncultured prokaryote. Its description in RNAcentral is "bacterial SSU rRNA". It matches the Rfam family "Bacterial small subunit ribosomal RNA", at positions 355 to 774 of the family's 1533-position model. The record is from RNAcentral.
UGGGGAAUAUUGGACAAUGGGGGAAACCCUGAUCCAGCAAUGCCGCGUGUGUGAAGAAGGCCUGAGGGUUGUAAAGCACUUUCAGUGGGGAGGAGGGUUAUUCGGUUAAGAGCUAGAUAAUUGGACGUUACCCACAGAAGAAGCACCGGCUAACUCCGUGCCAGCAGCCGCGGUAAUACGGAGGGUGCAAGCGUUAAUCGGAAUUAUUGGGCGUAAAGGGUGCGUAGGUGGUUAGGUAAGUUAUCUGUGAAAGCCCCGGGCUCAACCUGGGACGGUCAGAUAAGACUGCUUGACUCGAGUAUAGGAGAGGGUAGUGGAAUUUCCGGUGUAGCGGUGAAAUGCGUAGAGAUCGGAAGGAACACCAGUGGCGAAGGCGGCUACCUGGCCAGAUACUGACACUGAAGCACGAAAGCGUGGGGAGCAAACA